UGUCACUCUUGUGACCAGUUUUAGACACAUUGCUGGAGCUGCCCACAUGGGCGCACCCGGUCAGCUCUCUCAGACCGGAGGGUAAUGUCUGUGUGGCUUUUCAACGAUAGUGACUGACAACUGAGGAACAUCAAGGGGCUGAAAAGUUACACCAUGGUGGCUUUAUUUCUGCUGGACAGGUCACCUGCAGUCUUCCAACACCCUGUGCUUCUCACCAGUAUACGCUGAUCGGACCAUGCUGGCUGGCCUGGAUUACAACCACCAUGUCCACAGACCAGCCAGAGAAAAGUUGAUGACACAAUUCAGUGGAGAAGGACUACAGUUACAUUGCAGACCUCCAGAGUGCCAUCCUCCUAAGGUUGUCUACUACUGAGGAGAUGCCUAGGAGCCAUCUCAGGUUAUCACUCUGACGGCUGACGUACUGCUGACGUACUGCGGUAAGCGUGUCGACUCAUUUCCGUUUCCGAUGCUUGUGUGUUGGUACCGUGUUGUGCUGCUC
Micropterus dolomieu (smallmouth bass) is the source of this 499-nucleotide long non-coding RNA. RefSeq lists it as uncharacterized. The record is from RefSeq and is a predicted model, not a curated record. The transcript has 3 exons. Lineage: Eukaryota; Metazoa; Chordata; Actinopteri; Centrarchiformes; Centrarchidae.